Molecule: ribosomal RNA, 492 nt
Filed under: uncultured bacterium
Lineage: Bacteria
Description: partial 16S ribosomal RNA
Rfam family: Bacterial small subunit ribosomal RNA
Source: RNAcentral
AGUGAACGCUGGCGGUAGGCCUAACGCAUGCAAGUCGAACGGCAGCACAGUAAGAGCUUGCUCUUACGGGUGGCGAGUGGCGGACGGGUGAGGAAUACAUCGGACUCUACUUUUUCGUGGGGGAUAACGUAGGGAAACUUACGCUAAUACCGCAUACGACCUACGGGUGAAAGAAGGGGAUCUUCGGACCUUGCGCGAUUGAAUGAGCCGAUGUCGGAUUAGCUAGUUGGCGGGGUAAAGGCCCACCAAGGCGACGAUCCGUAGCUGGUCUGAGAGGAUGAUCAGCCACACUGGAACUGAGACACGGUCCAGACUCCUACGGGAGGCAGCAGUGGGGAAUAUUGGACAAUGGGCGCAAGCCUGAUCCAGCCAUACCGCGUGGGUGAAGAAGGCCUUCGGGUUGUAAAGCCCUUUUGUUGGGAAAGAAAAGCAGCAGGUUAAUACCCCGCUGUUCUGACGGUACCCAAAGAAUAAGCACCGGCUAACUUCGUG